This is a long non-coding RNA of Triticum dicoccoides, 800 nucleotides long. RefSeq lists it as uncharacterized. NCBI's taxonomy places the organism in Eukaryota, Viridiplantae, Streptophyta, Magnoliopsida, Poales, Poaceae. The record is from RefSeq and is a predicted model, not a curated record. The transcript is spliced from 4 exons.
CUCAUUCCCCACCCCACCCCUCAAUCCCCACCAACCACCGCCCUCUCCACCAUCGUCGAGCACCUCCAUCAGCCACCCACCCGCUGGCGCCAACCCUGACGACCCAGGCGCACCCGAGACCCGGCGCCCCCAUCCAUCUACCUCCUCACUGCGUCGCGCCGCCGCGCCACCAAAGCGCUACCCGGCGAUGGAUCCAAGCCGGCAACCGCCCCAGCGUGCCUCCUGGCGGCGGAUCCGGGCCGGCAACUAUUCCCCUCCUCCCCCACGACUGGUUUCCUCUCCUUUGUGUCAAGAUCGACGGUGUUCAGUGUAGAAGCCGGACGACGUGAUGCUGCUGUUACCGAUCUGCUGCAGCAUCUCUUGUUCGACUCCGAGAUCACUGGCGAUGAACACAAUCAGUUGUAGCGCAUGGCAUGGCGUUGGUGGGGAGAUACAAAGGGAAGAUGAUAAGGGAAGAUGAUAGGGGAUUACUCGAUAAGUAUGCGGAGGUUAAAUCUACCACAUGGGUCGUCAGCUUUGUUACCGUAACAAUGCACCAACCUAACACGCGAGGAAAACAAUUUCACAAGAUUCUCAUGUUAAGUAACUAUUCAAAGAGGUACAUGACAAUGUUGAUGUGCGGGAAAGAUAAAUUCACUCACUAACAUCUCUGAUGCUAUGGCUUACAUGUUGACGGUUGAGACCUGCUGAGUUUACUCAUUUAUUGUGUGAUGUGUUAACUUGCUUUUGUAAUUUGUAUAUGCCAACAUAUGUCAUGUUGUUUUAUGGUUAGUAGUAUUUCAACAUGAUUUUCCUCUUCA